GGAUGUAAAGUUGAUCAGGCUGUGACAUCGGUCACCACAAUGAUCACCAGGGUUGAUCUGGCUAGGCAGGUGUCCCCUUCCUCUCUCACCGCUCCAUGUGCUUCCCUCCUGAAGCUGAGCACUCAGUCUAAGAGGAUGACCUUCUCUCAAUAGAGACAGAUCUGUCUUUGGUAGAAGGUAUAUAAAUAGUUGCCCGAACCUCCCAACAGGCUCUCAAGGCUCAUUAUUAUUUAUCUUUUAAAAAUCUUAAUAGUAGUUUAAUAAUGCUUAACACAAUUGU
Erinaceus europaeus (western European hedgehog) is the source of this 280-nucleotide non-coding RNA. Lineage: Eukaryota; Metazoa; Chordata; Mammalia; Eulipotyphla; Erinaceidae. The record is from Rfam.